Molecule: non-coding RNA, 25 nt
Filed under: Cricetulus griseus (Chinese hamster)
Lineage: Eukaryota; Metazoa; Chordata; Mammalia; Rodentia; Cricetidae
Source: RNAcentral
CACACUGUGGCUCACAACCAUCUGU